This is a long non-coding RNA of Panthera uncia (snow leopard), 5881 nucleotides long. RefSeq lists it as uncharacterized. The record is from RefSeq and is a predicted model, not a curated record. The transcript has 2 exons. NCBI's taxonomy places the organism in Eukaryota, Metazoa, Chordata, Mammalia, Carnivora, Felidae.
UAGAGAAGUGUCUAUUCAUGUUUUCUGCCCAUUUCUUCACUGGGUUAUUUGUUUUCCGGGUGAGUAGUUUGGUGAGCUCUUUAUAGAUUUUUGGAUACUAGCCCUUUGUCUGAUAUGUCAUUUGCAAAUAUCUUUUCCCAUUCCGUUGGUUGUCUUUUAGUUUUGUUGGUUGUUUCCUUUGCUGUGCAGAAGCUUUUUAUCUUCAUAAGGUCCCAGUAGUUCAUUUUUGCUUUUAAUUCCCUACAGCAUGGGACUUUUAAUCUCAGGAUUGUGUGUUCAAGCCUCAUGUUGGGUGUGGAGUCUAUUUAAGAAAAAAAUUUUCCCCCUUGUUAGGCAAAGGGAACCUUUGGGAUUUGGAUGCUACAGUUUCCCUUGGAUCUCCUUUGUAAUCACUCAGUUUCUAGUUCUUGGCUAGAAGGGGACAAUUUUCCAGAGAACUUUUUGUUUACAUUAUCAAGUUUCUGCAUCUCCUGGCUCCACCAAAAGAAGGACAGCUUGAUAGUGGUCAAGAAGGUUUGGAGUAUAUGGACCAAGACAGGGUUUGGGAAGUCCUUAACAAUGGCACAAGCAUCAGAAGUUGACAUUAGGAAAUAUCAGAGACCUCUUCAUCUGGAGGGUGUAGUUUUAAGGGGCUUCGAGUAUGGAUAGUUCUGAAGAUGGAAGAGGAGGGAAGAGAAAGGAAAGAUAAAUAGGAAAGUGUGGAACAGAGUUUUAGAUGGACGCACAAAACUGAGGCAGAUUAAAAAAUUUUCACAUCUCAUUGGUCUAGGCAAAGAGUUUUAGGGAACCUUAAGAAUCUGGAUUAUAUCUCUCUCAGUUUCUUAGCCAUAUUUUAAAUUUAAACUCACAAGGAAUUGCAAAAAAUAAUACCAAGCAUUCCUGUGUCCUUCAUGCAACUUUCCUGAGGUGCCUCAGUGGUGAUAUCUUGUAUAAGCAUAUUUCGUUAUCAAAACCAAGAGAUUGACAUUAGUACAAUACUUUUAACGACAGACCUUAUUUGAAUUUUUGUAUAGUUUUAUGAAAUUUUAUCACAUAGGUACUUUUUUAAAGUUUUUUUUUUUAAAUGUUUUUAGUUUUUUUUUGAGAGAGAGUGCAAGCAGGGGAGGGGCAGAGAGAGGGAGACACAGAAGCCGAAGCAGGCUCCAGGCUCUGAGCUGUCAGCACAGAGCCUGAUGUGGGGUUCAAGCCCACGAACACGAGAUCAUGACCUGAGCUGAAGCCAUACGCUCAACCGACUGAGCCCAUAAAGAUUUUUUUUUUUUUAACGUUUGUUUAGAAAGAGAGAGUGCAAGCAUACGCGAGUUGGGAAGGGGCAGAGAAAGAGGGAGAGAGAGAAUCCCAAGCAGGCUCUAUGUUGUCAGGGUGAAGCCUGACCUCAAUUCAACAAACUCUGAGAUCAUGACCUAAGCUGAAAUCAAGAGUCGGACAUUUAAGCGACUGAACCACCCUGGCAUCCUGUAAGAUUUUUAUUUUUGAGUAAUUUCUGUACCCAGUGUCGGGCUCCCACUCACAACCCUGAGAUCAAGAGUCCCACACUUCAUUGACUGAGCCAGCCAGGUGCCCCCAUUCACAUAUGUAGAUUCUGAUAACUACAAUCAUCAGGGUACAGAACUUUUCUAUCUUCACAAAGAAACUCUUAUGCUAACCUUUCUAUAUAACCUUCUCCAUAUUUCUAACCACUGGCAACCACUGGGGCAACCACUGACCUAUUCUUCAUCUGUAUAAUUUUGUCAUUUCAAGAAUGUUAUAGAAGUGGAGUUAUAAAGUAUACAACCUUUCGAAAUUGGCUUUUUUUACUCAGCAUAAUGGCCGCGAGAUCCCUUCAUGCGUCAACAGUUUGUUGCACGUAUUGUGUUGUUCCUUUUCAUUGUUGAGUAGUAGUCCAUUGUAUGGGUGCCCCACAGUAUAUCCAUUCACUUUUCAUAGGACAUUUGGAUUGUUUCCACUUUUCAGCUAUACAAAUAGAGCUACUACUAUAAACAUUCAUGUACAGAUUUCUUAUGCGGAUGUGUGUUUUCAUUUCUCUAGGAUAAAUAUCCAGGAGUAUCAUUGCCAAGUCUUAUGAAGGAAAUCCUAACGCAUGGCUACAGCAUGGAUGGACCUGAGGACAUCAUGCUAAGCGAAGUGAGCCAGUUACACAAAAAGAAAUGCUGUGUGAUUCUACUUAUAUGAGGUACUUAAAAUAGUUAGAAUCCUAGAGACAGAAAGGGUGGCUGCCAGGGGCUGGGAAGAGGGGAGAGUAGGGAGUUCUCUCAUGGGUCUAGAGUUUCAGUGUUCUAAGAAGAGAAUUCUAGAGAUGGAUGGUGGUGAUUAUUGUGCAACAUGACAAAUAUAUUUAAUGCCACUGAACCGUUCACUUAAAAAUAGUUAAGAUGGUGGGGCGCCUGGGUGGCUCGCUUGAGCGUCCAACUUUGGCUCAGGUCAUGAUCUCACAGCUUGUGGGUUCGAGCCCUGUGUUGGGCUCUGUGCUGACGGCUCAGAGCCUGGAACCUGCUUCAGAUUCUGUGUCUCCCUCUCUCUCUGCCCCUACCUCCCUUGCUCUGUCUCAAAAAUAAACAUUAAAAAAAUUAAAAAUGAAAAUAGUUAAGAUGGUAAAUUUUAUGUAUAUUUUACCACAAUAAAAACAAUUGGGAAAAAAAUGUCACGAAGUAGGUAGAACGGGAACAUGGCACGCAAAAAUGAACUGUUACUAUUGUGUUCUGUAUACGCAUUAUCUUUAAAAUUUCCUUUAAUAUAGCAACACUACUGCUUUCAUAACAGAAAGCACUGACAGAAAAAAAAAAAAUCAGGGAAAAAAUUUUUGAGAUCUUUGGGUAGUUGUUAUUUGCCCCAGGAAGUACCCAGGUAGUCAUGGGAAAAACUCGUUUAACAUCCUCGCACUUUAUAAUUUGCUAUUGUUUUAAAAAAUUUUUUACUACAGAUCAUUGGGGGCCCAUAACCUUUCCAGUUUUAGGUUUUAGUUUAGGUUUACGUUUUUGGCUGGUCUUGGGUGCAGUCCAUUCGAUUUUCAGGCCGAGGGACUUGUGCCGGGAUGGCCCCCGGGGCCCCGCAGCUCUCCGAGAAGCGCAUCUGUGUGGUCACAGGAGCCCCGGCCUCCUCACCAGCUUAUUCCAUUUGCACGAAAACUCCCCCCCCCAUGGACCUGGGAUAGUGAUCCUGGUUUUGUCUUUCAACUCCAGGGCAAGGGUGGUUUUUUUUGUUUUUUUUUCUGUAAGUGAUCAAUUAAUCACUAGAAAUAGACAUGUGGAGCACCUGGAAGUGGACCAAAAUAUCCGGGAGCCAAAUGCUUCCAGUCUGGCAGCAGAAGGGGACGCCUGGCGAAGGCUCGUGGGCCCAGCUUGGUGUGGAGCAGGAGACGGGGGCUCCUGCUCCCGUCUCGACUAUGUGAGGAAGACCUGGAUGUGCCUCCCGCUGUUCAGUGAGUGACACUUAAAUGGGUAGCGCUGUUUGGGGAUAACAAUGAAAACUAACGGCUAUGCUUUUCACUGACAGAGCUAGACUGUUCCAAGAAGCUUGAGGUGGACUAUUUUUGGACUUGACUUUGAGAACUUCCAGGCCCAUAUUUGACCUUGUUGGGAAGUUCCCUAAGCCCAAGCGUUGAGAAGAGAACCACCUGGGCGGUCCAUCGUGAGCUGAAAUGAGCAAUGUCGGUUUCACGAUAACUGGCGUAUACUGAGCAGGGACCCUGCGCCGGACGUUGCUGUGCUGCUUACCAUGCGUCAGCACGUCUGGUCCUCGCAACCACUCUGUGAGCAGUACUCUAGGAUUCCCAUUUUUCAAAAAGCAAAUUAAGAUUCCGGUAGUCUUAGGUGCUGGCCCAAAGCCACCUAGUGACUUGACCUGGCUUUUUUUUUUAGAAGUUCCAAGUCAGCACAGACAUGCCAUAAAUCCAGGUCUGAAAUAUGGGAACUGUCAUUUCCCUAAACCAACCAAAAUGUCCUGUGGGAGGAAACAGUCCUAAGUCUGUGGCUUUUUUUUUUUUUUUUUCCAAUUUUCAAUGGAUUUCUUCUUCUUGAUUAGGAAAGGUUUCCUCUUCUUGUGCAGAAACUCACCAGUGAGUAAUGGAGAACCUUUCCAGCAAAUUAGAAGACUUGAGAAAUAGAAAAUCCUUCAUUUACCGUUGGAAGACCAGAGCAUUUCCAAAUAGACUUUAAGCCAACACUACAUAAAUUCGAAUUUCCUUAGAGGCAGCAGUUUUAAUGUUGAUAAUCUCUAAGAGCAGUACUAUUGGGUGGUUUCUGAGUAAACUUUAGACUCUCAAAAGUUUAGUUUUAGUGGUUUAAUAAAACCUGAAUCUGUAUAGUUCUUUUAGUCAGCAAGUCUGAGGUCGAAGUACUCCUGGCCAUCAGCUCACCACGCUCAUUCCACAUCGGUUGCCCAGAAUCUCUGGUAGAGACAGUCACCCCGUGAAGCAGCCACUCUUAGGUGAGUAGUCGGGUCUGGGGUGAGGGCAGAGGUGGGGGGGAAGCUACCAAAGCAGUCCCUUAGGGGGACGGCCACCACGUGGCUGAAUGGCUGGAUAGGAUUUUCAGAGUUAACUUCCUAAAUUAUACUGGGGCUGCUGUACAAAGCCAGACUGGGCCUCCGAGAACUCAAAGGUACUGUCGGUAGGCACCCCCCUCGCUUCCCCUCUCCUGUUGGAUCUUUAUCUUGCCACAGUGGAUGAAAGGUCCACCUGGAUCUUCCCCGCAGCAGUGAACAGCCCCAGAGAGGAGUCCGUGUGGAACAUGGCCCGCCAGGGCCCACUAGAGCGCGGGGCGAGGGCCCAGGGGCCAUAUCCUAACCCCAGCCACCCCUGACCAAGUCUGUUCCUCUAAGAAGCCAGCUGUGUGGAUUCACAGGUCAGAUGGAGGGAAAGGCCUCAGUUACUUCCUCGGCUUUUCUUGGUCCCUCGGUAGGUGGAGAGGCCUGCGAAGGACCAUACCGAUGACUGCUCUGGCCUCCCUCCCCAGGCUCUUCACAGCACCGCACCCCAGGGCCCCACCCGACGCAGUGGGUGUCUCUGAAGGGAGUCAGGCAUGCAGUACAGGGAUCCCAGGCUGAAUCCCUUUUAAAAACCCCAGACUCGGGCAAUUAGAAGGAGUGUUUUCAAUAUUUUAUUAACAAAUAAAUUGGUAGAACAAUUUCUCUGGUAAUCUCCCCCCCCCCCCCCCCACCCCCAUUUAACGUCCAGCAUGUGGCCGCCAUGAUGGUCGGUGUCUAACCUGCUCUGCUAGCUGGGUUCUCAGCAGCCCCCUCGGCCUAGUUCAGUCAUCCUCCCAAGGACUUUGGGGCAAAGAGAAAACUCCCCUCCUCAAGAGGGCGAGAGAGAGAGACAGAAGCUUCUGCUUGGAGGCCAGGGCCACAAAGGCAAGCCAGGCCUUAUUCCUUUUGGAGGAGGGGCACAGGUUCUUCUUCCUAGGGCAGAGCACUUGUGCCCGCCCCCAUCCGCCUUCCCGAGGAGGUGAGCCCAGCGUGAGAAAGCCCUGAGUGGAAACUCAACGUUACGAGGACACCACUCUUUUCUCUUAGACCUGCUAAGAGGGCACCCGGCGAUCUCUGUCAGCAGAGUGAGACUCUAGGACUAAAACAAAAGCCUAGGAGGAGCCCUUGCCUUGGCAAAACCUUGGGUGGAUCAAACCGCAACACUGCACAGACCUAGUAACUACAGCGGUGAGGUGAGCAGACCGUCAACCUGUCGGGGAGUACGGAGGAGGAAGAGACUAUUCCAGGUAAAACACUUGGUCGUCGAGCACCUUUUCUCCAAGAAGUUUGGCACUAACUCUAUACCAUCAAUUCUUCCACGAAGAUAGCGUGACCAACUCAUCUCCGGGGUCCUCAGGGCAGGCGUUUGAGCUCAGUCUUCUUCCUCUAAUGUCCAAUAAAGAUAACCCUACACGUG